UUUUUGUAUUUUUAGUAGAGAUGGGGUUUUGCCAUGUGGGCCAGGCUGGUCUCGAACUCCUGACCUCAGUGGCUCAUGCCUGUAAUCCUAGCACUUUGGGAGGCUGAGGUGGGUGGAUUGCUUGAGGUCAGGAGUUUGAUACCAGCCUGGCCAACAUGGCAAAACCCCGUCUGUACUAAAAAUACAAAAAUUAGCCGGGCAUAGUGGCAGGCGCCUGUAAUCCCAGCUACUCGGGAGGCUGAGGCACGAGAAUUCCUUGAACCCAAGGGGUGGAGGUUGCAGUGAGCCGAGAUCGUGCCACUGCACUCCAGCCUGGGUGACAGCAAAACUCUGUCUAAAAUAUAUAUAUAUAUGUGUAUGUAUGUAUAUAUGUAUGACUAUAGGUCAGUUCUCUAUGAAAUGUGCAUGCUGUGCUUUCACAGAUCCAGGGACUGUAAGUUAUCCCUAGGUAGACACUUCUUUAUCAGAUAGGCAGUUGGUUGGCUAGUCUCAACUUUUGUUUUUUUCUGGUACGUAAUGUGUUUGGUAUAGACCUUUGGGCCUCAGAGACUCCAGAGGACAUAGUUCAGGCUCUCAAGCUUAAAUUGAAGUAGGGAGCAUCACCUUGUGAGGGAGAAAGGUGGAAAUUGCUUAGCACUUGAACAACUCUCCAAAGAAAAUUCUCUUUCUUUGACUCUGAGAACCUUGAGGAAGGUGUUGGGUUGAGGUGCAAAACCAGUUUUUGGCCACUUUGAAAAUCUUUGCAUGUAAAAAACAGAAUCACAUAAGAGCCACAACACUACUUAUAUAUGAACGUGUGUGUGUUGGGGGGAGGGGCGUUGAGGGAUUAAAAUGCCACUGGGGGGCCAGGCACAGUGGCUUAUGCCUGUAAUCCCAGCACUUUGGGAGGCUGAGGUAGGAGGAUGGUUUUAGGUCAGGAGUUUGAGACUAGCCUAGGCAACAUAGUGAGACCGUGUCUCUACAAC
RNAcentral lists this long non-coding RNA (965 nucleotides) under Homo sapiens (human). RNAcentral's name for it is "HSALNT0096641". The record is from RNAcentral. Lineage: Eukaryota; Metazoa; Chordata; Mammalia; Primates; Hominidae.